AACCGUUCUGCCUCAUCUCUUCUUUGAGGAACGUCUGCCGUCUCUCUCUUUUAACUGAGCUGAAUGAGAUGGGAUUUUCCUGAGAUGAGGCAGCCAAGGAAGCGAAAGAGGAGAGAAGUAUAGAGAGAUUGCAUCGAGGCAAAAACACAUGUCCCAAAAGGGAUGAAGAGCCACGACGCGGACAGCUUGUAACGUAGGAGGCGUGAGUCAGAGUCCUUGCCAUGAACACUCCGAAUUCAGUGGAUCGGCCUCGCCCCUCCACUGGAGGCUGCAUCGGUGCCUCUCA
This is a long non-coding RNA of Lineus longissimus, 286 nucleotides long. RefSeq lists it as uncharacterized. The transcript is spliced from 3 exons. NCBI's taxonomy places the organism in Eukaryota, Metazoa, Nemertea, Pilidiophora, Heteronemertea, Lineidae. The record is from RefSeq and is a predicted model, not a curated record.